GCCAAACUUGUGUAUUUAUUGAAAUGACAGUGAUACAGUUGAUAUUAUUUCCCCAGAUAAUAAACAUGAGUACAUCCUGAUGGAGCAUAGUAAUAUUCUCUUUGACAAUCACUCAUUUCUACAUUCAGUGUCAACAAACUGAGCCCCAAAUAGCACCCUAUUCCCUGUGUAGUGCACUACUUUAGACUAGAGCUGGCACCCUAUUCCCUAUGUAGUACACUACUUUAGACUAGAGCUGGCACCCUAUUCCUAUGUAGUGCACUACUUUAGACUAUGGCUAUAUGGACCCUGGUCAAAAGUAGUGCACUAUAUAGGGAGAAGGGUGUCAUUUGGGAUGAAUCCUACAGUAUCCCUCUCUAACUCUCUCUUAAGUGUCUUGGGGCUCAGAGAGAAACUCUUAAAGGGGAGAAAGGUGGAGGGGUGAAGGGAGAGAAGGAUGGAGGGAGAGAAGGGUGGAGGGAUGGAGGGAGAGAAGGAUGGAGGGAUGGAGGGAGAGAAGGAUGGAGGGAUGGAGGGAUGGAGUGAGAGAAGGAUGGAGGGAGAGAAGGGUGGAGGGAUGGAGGGAGAGAAGGGUAGAGGGAUGAAGGGAGAGAAGGGUGGAGGGAGAGUAGGGUGGAGGGAUGGAGGGAGAGAAGGAUGGAGGGAUGGAGGGAGAGAAGGAUGGAGGGAUGAAGGGAGAGAAGGGUAGAGGGAUGAAGGGAGAGAAGGGUGGAGGGAGAGAAGGGUGGAGGGAUGGAGGGAGAGAAGGGUGGAGGGAUGGAGGGAGAGAAGGGUGGAGGGAUGGAGGGAGAGAAGGGUGGAUGGAUGUAUGUAAGACAGGAUGGCAGUCGACAGCCUUAAAGAAGGCCUGAGGGGAGGAAAGGGAGAAGAGUUGCCACACGGUCUACAGUGUGUGGAGAGAAAUGUGAAGCUGCCCUCUAGGCUAAACUGAAUAAGCCCCCAGGCUGAGUCUCCCGGGUAGGAAAUUGGCUAACAGUGUUAUAGUGAGCCAAGAGCAACCUUCUGGCUCGGUCUUUAUGUUUCAUUUAGAUCUUAUCUGAUACAUGGACACAAAGUCAAUGGAACUCUUCAGCAUGUUUUACAUAGAACCACUGGUCAUGUUCUAGAACUUCUAGUGUUCUACAGUAGAAUUCUCUGGCCGUGUUCAAGAACUUCUAGUGUUCUACAGUAGAAUUCUCUGGUCAUGUUCUAGAACUUCUAGUGUUCUACAGUAGAAUUCUCUGGUCAUGUUCUAGAACUGCUAGUGUUCUACAGUAGAAUUCUCUGGUCAUGUUCUAGAACUUCUAGUGUUCUACAGUAGAAUUCUCUGGCCAUGUUCUAGAACUUCUAGUGUUCUACAGUAGAAUUCUCUGGCCAUGUUCUAGAACUUCUAGUGUUCUACAGUAGAAUUCUCUGGCCGUGUUCAAGAACAUAGUAGAGUCACCUAGCUAGCGAAUACAGUGGUUCUCAAACCUGGUCCUGGGGAUCCAAAGGGGGACACAUUUUCUGUUUUUGCUCUCGCACUACACACCUGAUUCAAAUCAUCCAAGCUCGAUUAUCAGUUGAUAAUCUUAAAAUCAGGAACAAGUAAAAAUGUGUCCCCCUUCGGGUCCCCGGGACCAGGAUUGAGAACCCUUGAUUGAACAGAUAAGGUGACACUAUAAACUAUUUACAAAGUGAAUAAAAACAGAGUGAUAAAAGUGGAAUCACUUUUUAAAAAAUCAUUUAAAACUUUAAACUCAGCGUUUAAAAGCACUUUAAAAACGUCUUCUCAUCAGGACAACACACAUACUGGGCUGUUUCCCAGACCAGAUAUAGACCAGAUUACUACUAAGAUCAUUGGACACACACAGAUGAAACCAAACUAUUAUUUUAUGCCCCGAUGUACAUAAAUAUAUGUAAAUUGGGAUAUUAUAAAGACAACUUUUCGGGUCUCAAAGAACCCUGGAACUUUAAAAAAGUGGUCUUCUCCCCUAUAGUACCCAAUGGUUCUGUGAACCGUACAUAAAACACAGAGCAUUCAACACAGAACAUUUUGAAAAACUUUUAAAUUCACCCUCACUACCAAAAGAGUUGUACCCCCUCCCAACCUGACUAUCAAUUAUCACAAAAAAAAUAAAAAAUAAAAAAGGUACAUUUCUCCUUAUUUUUUAUUUAUUAGAAGUGUUGGAAUGUUUAUUUUAACAAUCAUGGUGAAUAUACACAUUGAGGGGGUACAUUAAACCAAGAUGGACAGGCAGCAAGAGUCAGCGGUGAAGGAGAGGAAGGGGGAGGAGAGGAGAGGAAGGGGGAGGAGAGGACAGGAAGGGGGAGGAGAGGAGAGGAAGGGGGGGAGGAGAGGAGAGGAAGGGGGAGGAGAGAGAGGCUACAAGCGUCAGCAGAGGAGGAGAGGAGAGGAAGGGGGAGGAGAAGAGAGGAAGAGGGAGGAGAGGGAGCGACAGCGGAGGAGGAGAGGAGAGGAAGGGGGAGGAGAAGAGAGGAAGAGGGAGGAGAGGGAGCGACAGGCAGCAAGCGUCAGUGGUGGAUGAGAGGAGAGGAAGGGGAGGAGAGGAAGAGACAAGGGACAGAAAGAUUCCAAAAUGUCUUUCACUUCUAGAACAUCUCAAACACUUCCCCUGCUUCCAUCCCUCCUCUCCAUCCCUCCUCUUCAUCCCUCCUCUCCAUCCCUCCUCUCCUCUCCAUCCCUCCUCUCCCCUCUCCAUCCCUCCUCUCCAUCCCUCCUCUCCCCUCUCC
Molecule: long non-coding RNA, 2712 nt
Organism: Oncorhynchus tshawytscha (Chinook salmon)
Lineage: Eukaryota; Metazoa; Chordata; Actinopteri; Salmoniformes; Salmonidae
Source: Ensembl